RNAcentral lists this ribosomal RNA (406 nucleotides) under uncultured bacterium. RNAcentral's name for it is "bacterial SSU rRNA". It matches the Rfam family "Bacterial small subunit ribosomal RNA", at positions 54 to 434 of the family's 1533-position model. The record is from RNAcentral.
CUUGCAAGUCGAGUGAGCAGAACCAGCAGAUUUACUUCGGUAAUGAUGCUGGGGACGCGAGCGGCGGAUGGGUGAGUAACACGUGGGGAACCUGCCCCUUAGUCUGGGAUACCACUUGGAAACACGUGCUAAUACCGGAUAAGAAAGCAGAUCGCAUGAUCAGCUUAUAAAAGACGGCGUAAGCUGCCGCUAUGGGAUGGCCCCGCGGUCCAUUAGCUAGUUGGUAAGGUAACGGCUUACCAAGGCAAUGAUGCAUAGCCGAGUUGAGAGACUGAACGGCCACAUUGGGACUGAGACACGGCUCAAACUCCUACGGGAGGCAGCAGUAGGGAAUCUUCCACAAUGGACGCAAGUCUGAUGGAGCAACGCCCCGUGAGUGAAGAAGGUUUUCGGAUCGUAAAGCUGC